UAGUUACUCCCUCCGUCCCAAAAUUCUUGUCUUAGAUUUGUCUAGAUACGGAUGUAUCUAACACUAAAGCAUAACUAGAUACAUCCGUAUUUAGACAAAUUUAAGACAAGAAUUUUGGGACGGAGGGAGUACUAU
This is a non-coding RNA of Triticum aestivum (bread wheat), 135 nucleotides long. NCBI's taxonomy places the organism in Eukaryota, Viridiplantae, Streptophyta, Magnoliopsida, Poales, Poaceae. The record is from Rfam.